Molecule: transfer RNA, 89 nt
Filed under: Burkholderia lata
Lineage: Bacteria; Pseudomonadati; Pseudomonadota; Betaproteobacteria; Burkholderiales; Burkholderiaceae
Description: tRNA-Gly
Source: RNAcentral
GGAUCGCCUGCGCCGCGGGCACGACGCGCGAGUGGCUGCCGCCGACUCCCGGCGAGCAGGUCGUGCUGCUCUGCCCGGUGGGCGAUCCG